This is an RNA transcript of Bombus huntii, 4304 nucleotides long. RefSeq lists it as uncharacterized. NCBI's taxonomy places the organism in Eukaryota, Metazoa, Arthropoda, Insecta, Hymenoptera, Apidae. The transcript has 16 exons. The record is from RefSeq and is a predicted model, not a curated record.
CAUUGCACUUUAAUAUAUGUACAAGUAAUACUAGAUAUCGUGUAACGUCGUAGCAUAAACUGUUUGAAAUUCUCUUUGUCUACCUACAUUUCUGGAUUUUUACAAUUGAAUAUUUUUCAUCUAAUUUAUAAAUCACGUUUAUAAAAUCUAAUACGCUUAUAAAUUUUUAUAAAUGUACCUAUAAUUGGUUAAGCAAUAUUAAUAAUAAAACGAUGGCAUUUCACGAAGUUGAUAAAUUGACAGAAAACAAAUCGUCUAAUGACGGAGAAUUUACAUUAUAUGUAAGUGACUUACCUGGAGAACUAAAUAAACAAGGCUUAUUAGAAAUUUUCAACCAUUAUGGAGAAGUUAAAGGAUAUUUUUACCGCCCAAAUGCUAAUUGGGCUUAUAUUACUUAUGGUGCAUAUCAUAAUGCUGAAAAUGCUAUAAAAGAUUUACAUAACGUACUACCACUACGUCUGAAGAUAUCAUUUGCUAAAGAAAGAGCUAGGAAUGAUGUGACAAAUACAAAAACAUUUUCUACUAAAGAUGUUACAGAAGAAUAUGAAAAUUAUAAUAUAAUGAAUGUUACAGUAACAGAUAAGCAAUUGAUACAAACAAGAGGACGAAGCAGGCCCUUAGAUGUAUUCAAAAAUGUAGAACCGAAUCCAGGAUUACCAAAAUAUGCUUAUACGGCAGAUAAUGAUUUAUUGUAUCCAUAUCCUUCUGACCCAUAUACGUAUAAUCCAUAUGAAAAUGCAGAGCCUUAUGCAAGUACAAACACAUUGUGGACAAGAGGACAAUUAGCUAUUACUCCAGAUGGCAAGAGACGUGUUGCACUUGGUCGGGGUUAUACAAUGUAUGAAAUCCCAGAUCCUGAUCCUGAAAUACACAAUCACAUUAAUAAAGUAUAUGAGAAACGUAUUUCUAGCCUAUAUGAAUAUGGUAAAGACAUGUUUCAAGAUGCAAUUGGAACAUGCAAAGUAUGUUCAAAAAAGACAAAGUAUACAUGUGAAAGAUGCAAUACUUUUUAUUGCAGUAGAACUUGCCAAGUGACUAAUUGGUCAAAACAUAAGCUUGAAUGUGAAGCUAUCCCAGCUUUAGUAACGACUAUCCGUUCUAUGCCUGUACUACAAUCAAAUGACGAACAGCAAAAUUCUCCCAGAAAUGUUUCUAAUAUUCAAUUACCUCUUCGGCGGCCAAAGAUGAAUGCAGUAACAAAAUCAAAUGAAAUAGAAGAAACAAGAAACUCUACAGGAAAUAAGUCCUCUUUACACAAACAACCAAUUCGAGAAGAAAUUUUCAACAAUAAGGCUAAAAGUCCACAAAAAGUAAAUGAUCAGGAAAACAAUAAAAAAUGGCAAAAUUUUAGUGCCAAUGAUAUUCAAGUGAUGGAGAAUGAUAUAUCAUUCUCUAAAAAUACAUUUUUAUCAAAAACUGAAUUUCAAGAUGUAACAAUAAUUAUAAAACAAAAUCGCGAAUGUUUUGUUCAAAAAGUAGAAGAUCAGGAUGCUAUUUCAAAGUUAAUGACUGAGUUACAACAUGAAGCACAAAAAGCACAAAAGGUGGGACCAAUCGUUGGAAAUAUUUAUGCUGUAGAAUAUGAAAAUGUAUGGCAUAGAGGUAUAGUUACAUGUUUAGAUCCAGUAAAAGUACACUAUAUAGAUUAUGGUAAUGAAGAAAUUGUUGAAACGAAUGAUUUUCGUAAAAUUGAUAAAUAUGAGAAUAUUCCAAGAUUUUGUGCUAAAAUUCGAUUAUCUCAAAAAGCUUAUGAGAAAUAUAAAAAUUUCAAAUAUGAGGAUGUAAUAAGUGUAAAAAUGAUAUCAGUUGAUUCCAACAAAGUAAUUAAUGUUGAAGUUCAAAAUGAGAAUGAUAUAUCAACAUUAGAAGUAAUUGAGACAAAUAAUGAUCAAAAUCUAAAUACCUCAACUAUUGCAAAAGUUGAUGAUGAAACUAUGAUUUCUUCAGAAAUAUCCACUAGCAGUAAAGCAUUAUAUUCUUUAUGCAAAGAAAAAAGUAUAGUGAAUGUUCUAACUGUUGGAGAAAUUGGUAUUCUAGAAAUUCAUGCAGAAAUAAAGAAUAAUGCUUAUGGUAUUACAUUAUUGCCUAAUAAUGCAGUACCUCAUUAUGAAAAAUUAGUGGCCGAAUUACCUACAAUGUGCACGCAAGCGGCAGAAUGUUCAAAUCAUAGACCAAAUGUAGGGGAUUUAAUAUGUGGUCGAAGAGCUGAUGGAGAUUGGCUUAGGGGAUAUGUUGUAUCUAACCAACCAUCCAUAAGAAUGGCUAUGAUAGAGGAAGCUAAAAUAGUGCCAAUUAAUAAGAUUGCUACAUGCGAUAAACUCUUUUCAGAUAUUAAUGCUUUUGGUGCAAUUUGUGAAGUGACUAAUGCUAAACAUAAAUUUGAAGAAGGUGACAUGUGUGAAUUUGAAGUAACAGGCCAAACACAUAAUAAGGAACAAGGUGGAUUUGAAAUAUUAAUUCUUAAAAAAGAGAUGAAUGUCUAUCUGAAGAUAGAAGCUACCGUAAAGCCUUGGAUACCAAUGCCUGAACAAAUAGGGUUACAGUAUGCAGAAUUGAAAAAUGAAUCUGAGGUAUGCCUUACUUCUUAUCGAAGUCAUAUACAUCUAUUUGUUCGUCCCUUAGAUACUGCAGGUUUGGAACACUAUAACCAUGUUAUGCAAAAUGUUGCAAAAUGUGCUCAAACAUCUUCAUUUUUAAAAGAACUGCCAGUUGUGGGGCAAAUGGUAAUAGCUCAGUUUGCUGACGAAAAUUAUUAUCGUGCAAUUGUUAUUAAGAUACAAGAUGAUAAAAUUACAGUUUCGUAUGUUGAUUUUGGUAAUACAGAAGUUACAAAUAUAAAGAAACUUAAGAUUUUAUCUGAUAAUUUGAAGGAGCUCCGAUCUUGUACAACAAAAGUCGUACUAAAAGAUGUUCCUAAAAAUGUCCGUGUGACGAAAGAAGUGAAUGAUUAUCUAGCUCAAAUAGUAGGAACUAAAGUUCCUCUGUUAUGUACAUUUGAAGAUGACAGAUCGCUGUAAGCAACUGUAACACCUCACCAUUUACAAGCUCGUGUAAUAUAGUAACUAAAGUAUAAUACUUACGAUAGCGUUUAUGGAUCAAUACAGGUGAUAUAUACAGGGUGGUUGGGAACUGGUGAUACAAGCGGAAAGGGGGUGAUUCUACGCGAAAAAAGAAGUCGAAAAUAUAGAAUAAAAAUUUUUCGUUUGGGGCUUCGUUUUCGAGGAAAUCGACUUUGAAUUUUCGCUGGGUACGCGUGCACUAUAUCACGUCUCGUUAUAACGGAUCUCACUGUAAAUCGUUGCUCGAUGGAAAAAUUAAAAAAAAAAAAUUUUCAUUCUAUAUUUUCGACUUCUUUUUUCGCGUAGAAUCACCCCCUUUCCGCCUGUACCACCAGUUACCAACCACCCUGUAUAAUAAUUAAUUAUUAUUAACAAGGUCUUCGUUAUUAAAACGUAAAUGUUUCAGUAUAAGAAAUACAUUUAUAACAUUCUGUAAAAAGACACGUUUUUUUCAAAUUUAUAAUCAUAUCAAUGCUGAAGUAAAAGGAAAAGUUCAAAACUGCAAUUCCCUCGAAGAAUAAAUGUUAAGGACACGAAAUUAGGUGAAGGUGCACAGGCAAGUGUUUUAACGUGUUUAGAGAACGGACUCCAUCAGUUUCAUUAUUGUAUGGCCCUGUUGGUGAUUGUUUAAUUAUUAUCGAUGGAAAGGAUUUAAUAGGACUAAGAAUAAUACAAAUGACGGCUUUAAUCCACCAUUAUGAAGGAUGUGAUUUAAAAUAAUUUAUCUGGAGAUACAUUAACGAAGGAGUAAAAGAAUUUGCGUAGCAGUGAAAGGACCAUUGCCAGAAGUGGCCUGUAAACUUGCAGACGCUUUGCGAUAUUUUAGAAAAUUAAUUACUAAAUUCAUCUAGACCCGAGUUCUAGAAUGCUCAGUUUUUCAGGAAAUCUCACUGCCACCAAGUCCUUGGUUUGUUCAUGGUCAUAUCGUUUGUGUUGGAUGUAGAUUGAAAACACGUCAAGUCGGACAUCAAAUCAUCAAACACGAGAAUACGUCUGCUAGGAUUUUACAUGAUUGUUUAUGAUCUAUUCAUUAUCCAAUAACACGAAUAGUUAUUAACUAAUGCCAGUAAACAUUAAUUUAAUUGAAGUUUAUGGUAUUAAGAAACGUGCGAUUUAUAUCUUCGAAAUGUGUGUCUUAUGAAUCAAAAUGAAAUACGAAAUUUGGGAGUGAUCACAGUUAUUAUUGAUUAAUAAUUUUGACAUUAAAUCGAUAAAUUUCUUAAAUAAACUUUGUUCAUUGCCACG